GAAAAUUUAAUGGUUUAUAAAUGUCACGACCCAUUUUCAUGGACCGAACCGGUACUAGGACCUGGGUGGGCUUAAGGCCCCCGAAGCCCGUAGUAAGCUUGUAUUACUUAAAACUCGCAUUCCAUUCACAAUUGUGGAUUCAGGCCCAAUAACUUAUUUCACAAAUAUAUUUAAAGUACAAUCCAUAUAGUAAAUGUCUAAACUCUAUUUAUUCAUUUACAACCCAGUUGGAAUACAAUUGCGGAACUCUACUCCAUAAUUCACUAUCCUUUGCAUUUACAUAUUCAAUACAAUGAUUAUUGCUCAUAUCAAUCCGUAUCUCGUUUGUUCGAUUGGACUCCAGGAUUCUUCUUUCCAUCUAUUAUCUAGGGAGGUUGGAGGGGGGUGAGUACAAGACUCAAUGAGUAGGAUUAGAUAACCCUCUCACUCCACACAAUCAUACAAAUGCUAAAAAAAAUUUUAUUUGGUCAUUCGUUUAAUUAUAUGAUCAUGCAGUUUAUCACACAAAUGACAAUACAACAGCAACUACAAUUAUUAUCACCUUCAUGUAAUCAUAUCACGUGGAAAUUAGUCAGUGGAGUCACCGAAACACGAUAAGCCGUCCUCACACAUGGCUCAUCCACUCACAUGUGCACCAGGGAGCCAAUCCCCAUUCUGGCUGGCCGGUAUAAUACUCACACGACCGGUCCUCUCAUUAUUUUGCUAAUCUCUCUCUUUUCUUUUUUCUUUUUCUUUAUAUAUAUAUAUAUAUAUAUAUACACCAACAGGAGGCAACCCGGUCGUCUCGAUCAAAUAGAGAUCCUUAGGCGCUCAAAACAGAAGGCCACCCUGCGAGUUGCGAUCAGAUCUAAAUUAUCAGGUGCGCCCAAAUAAAGAAGCCAACCUGUGGUUAACGGUAACAGGAACGGUAACAGUAGGUGCACAUGGGGGCACCAAUCUCCCAUUUACCCGGCUAAUCAUAAUCAGGAUCCAUAUAACGGUAACGGUCUCACAAACCCAUGGUGACCCACUUCAUCCCAAUUCCACAUAAACAAGGCACAACAAUAUCACAGCACAAGUAAUCAAGCAAUAUUUAAUAUCAACAAAUAGUGCAUCAUAAUAUGGCGAUAAUGCAUGAUAACAUUUAGCCGUGAAUGCAUGAAUGCAGGNN
RNAcentral lists this long non-coding RNA (1150 nucleotides) under Jatropha curcas. Its description in RNAcentral is "long non-coding RNA (JCUR_LNC000151)". The record is from RNAcentral. Lineage: Eukaryota; Viridiplantae; Streptophyta; Magnoliopsida; Malpighiales; Euphorbiaceae.